RNAcentral lists this unclassified non-coding RNA (302 nucleotides) under uncultured fungus. Its description in RNAcentral is "partial contains 5.8S ribosomal RNA, internal transcribed spacer 2, and large subunit ribosomal RNA". The stretch from base 1 to 52 matches the Rfam family "5.8S ribosomal RNA", at positions 103 to 154 of the family's 154-position model. The record is from RNAcentral. Lineage: Eukaryota; Fungi.
AACGCACCUUGCGCUCCUUGGUAUUCCGAGGAGCAUGCCUGUUUGAGUGUCAUGAAAUUCUCAACCUAACGAGUCUUUGCGGGCUCGGUAGGAUUGGACUUGGAGGUUCUUGUCGGCCUGCUUUAGCGGGUUCCGGCUCCUCUCAAAUGCAUUAGCUUGGUUCCUUGCGGAUCGGCUCACGGUGUGAUAAUUGUCUACGCCGCGACCGUGAAGCGUUUGGCGAGCUUCUAAUCCGUCUCACUAGAGACAAUACACUUAUGACCUCUGACCUCAAAUCAGGUAGGACUACCCGCUGAACUUAA